AUAUCAGUCCAUCUCUUCUUUUUGGUUGUCUGGGAGAGGAUGUUAACAUCACCUGCAGAUUUACAGAAUGGAGAUGGAAGUGUUUUUUAUUCUACAGAAUCAAGGAAACCAACAUAGUUAAAUGAACCCAGCAGAUGAGAAAAUUGAGGCAUGAGAGAGGGUAAGUCAAUUGCUCAAGGUCCAACAGCCGAGGAACAGCUGUCUGGUUCCAGAACCCAUUCUUCUUGACUGUGUGCUAUACUGCUUAUUGCUACAUAUAUCCAAACCAAAGCCAAGAGAAUCUUAGCAGCCGGAAGCAAGAAUCAAGGUAUUUUGUACCACCUCAACAGCCCGACCUCCCCAAAG
Suricata suricatta (meerkat) is the source of this 345-nucleotide long non-coding RNA. RefSeq lists it as uncharacterized. The record is from RefSeq and is a predicted model, not a curated record. The transcript has 3 exons. NCBI's taxonomy places the organism in Eukaryota, Metazoa, Chordata, Mammalia, Carnivora, Herpestidae.